RNAcentral lists this ribosomal RNA (521 nucleotides) under uncultured bacterium. Its description in RNAcentral is "bacterial SSU rRNA". It matches the Rfam family "Bacterial small subunit ribosomal RNA", at positions 777 to 1304 of the family's 1533-position model. The record is from RNAcentral.
AAUAGAUACCCCGGUAGUCCACGCCGUAAACGAUGGAUACUAGCUGUUUGAGCGCAAGUUUGAGUGGCUAAGCGAAAGUGAUAAGUAUCCCACCUGGGGAGUACGGGCGCAAGCCUGAAACUCAAAGGAAUUGACGGGGGCCCGCACAAGCGGUGGAGCAUGUGGUUCAAUUCGAUGAUACGCGAGGAACCUUACCAGGGCUUAAAUGUAGAUUGACGUAUUUGGAAACAGAUAUUUCUUCGGACAAUUUACAAGGUGCUGCAUGGUUGUCGUCAGCUCGUGCCGUGAGGUGUCAGGUUAAGUCCUAUAACGAGCGCAACCCCUGUUGUUAGUUGCCAGCGAGUAAUGUCGGGAACUCUAGCAAGACUGCCAGUGUAAACUGUGAGGAAGGUGGGGAUGACGUCAAAUCAUCACGGCCCUUACGUCCUGGGCCACACACGUGCUACAAUGGCCGGUACAGAGAGCAGCCACUUAGCGAUAAGGAGCGAAUCUAUAAAGCCGGUCACAGUUCGGAUCGGAGU